AACACAGGAGAUACAGAGGACAAAAGUGAUCCCAAAUGCUGUGUGACGCAACAUACAGGACCACUCAGUGGGGCGACCAAUGAAAGUGCUGCUAUGACUGUAACUGAAUAUUGCCAUGUUGAGGCCUGGACCCUUCUCAAACGUGUGAAGUCUGGGGCAGGUUGGACACUGUUUGACUUUGAGUCACAGAAGCUUCCUGUUCCAUGGUGGCGCUAUGACUGUAACUGAAUAUUGGCAUGGAAAUGUUUUCAGGCCAGGACACUUAUCAAACAUGUGAAGCAUGGGGAAGAUUGGAGAUUGUAAGCAUGAGUUAGAACAACUUCAUGUUUUAUGGCGAAAACACAAAAAUUUGUCAGGCCACCACGGACAGACCCUCCAAUGAAAAGUCAAUAUCUCUGCAAUUUAGCAUCACAAAGGCCUUUAGAAGAGACUGACCAAAUAUGAUGAUGAUCUUAUUAAAUCUCUAGGAGAAGUUCGUUAAAGUACAGUGCUUGGAAAUGUAAAAAAAUUACAGAGAAAAUUCAAAAUGGCUGACUUCCUGUGGGGUUUAGAGCUUGGCUCCAAGAGAUUUUUUGUCUUGGAGUGGUAUAUGAUCCUACCAAAUUUCAUACCAGAACGUUUAACAGAGUGAGGGGGCUGUUCUCUUGAAUAUUUGUAGGUGGCGCUCUCGAGCCAUUUCUACACAGCCAAUUGUGCAACCUAUACAACAUGUACAUUUUUGGCACUUAUGACACGUGUGCAAAUUUCAUGAGUUUUUGAGUCAUUUCAUAAAAUAAUAUUAACUGAGCAAAAACAAUAGGGCCGUUCUGCAUCCAAACUUUUUGCAAUUAAAUAUUUUUGUCCUACUUAGAUUUUGUUGAUAUAUUUUGAAUUUAUAACAAAUUAGUUCUUUAAUGAUAAUAGGGUUUGCUGUGCUAAAAACUUCUGACCAUUCAUCAAAACAAUGACAGACAUUUAAAGAACAGCUAAGAGUAAGAUGAAAUUUGAAUGGAAAGGUUUUGCAUUAUUGCCUUAAAUUCAAAGAUCUAAUGAUCUAAUUGAAGCCAAAUGUAAAAUGCCUUUGAGAUUAAAAUUGAAAAAAGUUACACCAUGAUGAAAUAAAAUUAAAUAGAUCUAAAGUUCUCAGCAAAUCAUAUGUAUUAAUAUUGUACAAAGUGUAAUAAAAGUGUGGACUGGCAAAUCUGUACCAUUUAACAAUAAUUGUUUUGUGCUGUGAUAUAAGAUAAAUAUAUAUGGCAAUAUUUUGUGUGAGUUUGCUCACCUGCUGUAUCUGUACAUAUAUGAAUUGUAUGUCUUUGCUAUUAAAUUGACAUGUGUAACAGCACCCAUAGAAACAUUAGACAAUGUGGCUUUGUUUAAAAUGAUUUGGCAGCAUUAAGCUAUUAUAUCAUGUAAUCUUGUGUAUUACAAAAAAU
Misgurnus anguillicaudatus (oriental weatherfish) is the source of this 1415-nucleotide non-coding RNA. The record is from RefSeq and is a predicted model, not a curated record. NCBI's taxonomy places the organism in Eukaryota, Metazoa, Chordata, Actinopteri, Cypriniformes, Cobitidae.